Molecule: long non-coding RNA, 603 nt
Organism: Zalophus californianus (California sea lion)
Lineage: Eukaryota; Metazoa; Chordata; Mammalia; Carnivora; Otariidae
Exons: 3
Source: RefSeq, a predicted model, not a curated record
CUCGCUGUCUCUGCCGCCAUAGCUACCACAGACACGGCUACCAUUUAUGGCUCUGCCCGCGUCUUACACCGAGCUCUUUAUCCAUGUUAUUUCAGGGUUUUUUUGGCCGCAGUUCUCAAAGUGUAGUGGUACCAGAGAAAUGAACGAAUACAGAUGAGCAUCUUUUAAAAUAUUUGAGAUUUAUGUAUUUAUUUUAAUGUGGGAAAAGAAAGGAGUACACCAAACGUCAUUUCAGAUACUUUUGCUCAGAAUUAGGGUAAGUGCUAAAGGCAGUUGAAACACCUGCAGGAUCCAGCAUCUGAAGUAAGUUACGGGGUCUGAGUGACCGAAAGACCACACACUGUUGGAGGUCUCAGGAACUCUGGACAGUCCCUGGAGCCCUGAGAACGCCGUGUUGUGAUGAAGCCCAUCUAGCCCGUGGGAGAAUGAGACUCUCGUAGAGAAGAAGUGAGGAGCCCCAGCUGCCGGACAUGACAAUGAGACCCUCUUAGAUCUUGUGGCCCAACUAGGACAUCCGAUGAGAUACGCUAAGAAACCUCCCAAUGCAUGGAAUGGCAAAAAAUAAUAAAUUGUAGUGGUUUGGGCCACUAAUUUUUGGAAUGG